ACCCUUUUAAAAGCACUCAUUUGACCUUUUGCUAAUGAUCCAUGGAGUCGUCAAGGAAAAGAAUAGUAAAAACACCACUUUGGGGUGAAGCGGCAGUAUGUUGUGUUAUUUUGCUUCAAUCAUUUGCAUGACAAGG
Molecule: small nucleolar RNA, 136 nt
Organism: Pteropus vampyrus (large flying fox)
Lineage: Eukaryota; Metazoa; Chordata; Mammalia; Chiroptera; Pteropodidae
Source: Ensembl